This 543-nucleotide unclassified non-coding RNA is filed under the name Hevea brasiliensis (rubber tree). The record is from RNAcentral. Lineage: Eukaryota; Viridiplantae; Streptophyta; Magnoliopsida; Malpighiales; Euphorbiaceae.
CAUCACUUGUUCCAUGUGUUUCUUUAUGAUGGUCAGGAAUUUGAAUUAUUGAUUCAAUCUCUUCCUUGGCUCUUUCAUCUUUUUCUUCAUAUGAAAACCAAAAACAAAAAAAAAAUCUCAAAGAUUCAGUUCUUCUACUUCUAAAGUUCAAUUUUAGGGUCCCCUUCCUCACCCUAAAAAAUUUCUUACAACAUUCACAUGGAAAAACACUCACAGGCUUCCAUUUAUAGGUGUGGAUUUUACAUAAAAAAUAUGGCUUUAAAACAUCCUUAUUGUUUCAGGAGGGGGAACAACAAAAUAGCAUCGUUAAACAUAGAAAAUAAUUCAUUCUCUUAAGACAUUAUAAAAAAAACAAGAAACCUCCACAGACAACCAGAAGAACAAAAAGUCAAUCCACCUUGAUGGGUGGAAAAAAAGAUAUUGUCAAUACUCGAGAAGAAGGAAUCCCCACCCACCCUCCAAGUUCCAUUUUUUCUUGGAUGCAGCAACAGCAAAUGAAUCAACCCAUAUGAAGGAUUACAAUAACAAAAGAUCAGGUCUUUG